RNAcentral lists this ribosomal RNA (253 nucleotides) under uncultured bacterium. RNAcentral's name for it is "partial 16S ribosomal RNA". It matches the Rfam family "Bacterial small subunit ribosomal RNA", at positions 524 to 776 of the family's 1533-position model. The record is from RNAcentral.
UACGUAGGGUGCGAGCGUUAAUCGGAAUUACUGGGCGUAAAGCGUGCGUAGGCGGUUCGCUGUGUCCGAUGUGAAAGCCCCGGGCUUAACCUGGGAAUGGCAUUGGAAACUGGCGGGCUUGAGUGUGGCAGAGGGGGGUGGAAUUCCGCGUGUAGCAGUGAAAUGCGUAGAGAUGCGGAGGAACACCGAUGGCGAAGGCAGCCCCCUGGGCUAACACUGACGCUCAGGCACGAAAGCGUGGGGAGCGAACAGG